RNAcentral lists this ribosomal RNA (253 nucleotides) under uncultured bacterium. Its description in RNAcentral is "partial 16S ribosomal RNA". It matches the Rfam family "Bacterial small subunit ribosomal RNA", at positions 524 to 776 of the family's 1533-position model. The record is from RNAcentral.
UACGUAGGUGGCAAGCGUUGUCCGGAUUUACUGGGCGUAAAGAGCGCGCAGGCGGUCGUUCAAGUCGCGUGUGAAAGCCCCCGGCUCAACUGGGGAGGGUCACGCGAUACUGAUCGACUCGAAGGCAGGAGAGGGUAGUGGAAUUCCCGGUGUAGUGGUGAAAUGCGUAGAUAUCGGGAGGAACACCGGUGGCGAAGGCGGUUCUCUGGGCAUGACCUGACGCUGAGGAGCGAAAGUGUGGGGAGCGAACAGG